UACAGAGGGUGCGAGCGUUGUCCGGAAUCACUGGGCGUAAAGGGCGCGUAGGCGGCUUUUCAAGCGUGCGGUGAAAGCUCGGGGCUUAACUCCGAGUCUGCCGUGCGAACUGGGAGGCUUGAGUCUGGUAGAGGUCGAUGGAAUUCCGGGUGUAGCGGUGGAAUGCGUAGAGAUCCGGAAGAACACCGGUGGCGAAGGCGGCCUGCUGGGCAGUUGCUGACACUGAGGCGCGAAAGCGUGGGGAGCGAACAGG
This 253-nucleotide ribosomal RNA is filed under the name uncultured bacterium. RNAcentral describes it as "partial 16S ribosomal RNA". It matches the Rfam family "Bacterial small subunit ribosomal RNA", at positions 524 to 776 of the family's 1533-position model. The record is from RNAcentral.